Molecule: ribosomal RNA, 506 nt
Filed under: uncultured bacterium
Lineage: Bacteria
Description: partial 16S ribosomal RNA
Rfam family: Bacterial small subunit ribosomal RNA
Source: RNAcentral
GAUGAACGCUAGCUACAGGCUUAACACAUGCAAGUCGAGGGGUAACAAGAGAAAAGCUUGCUUUUCUUGUUGACGACCGGCGCACGGGUGAGUAACGCGUAUCCAACCUGCCUAUAACUAGGGAAUAACCUUGCGAAAGUAAGACUAAUACCCUAUGAUUUCCUUUGAUGACAUCAGAUUAGGAAUAAAGAUUUAUCGGUUAUAGAUGGGGAUGGGUCUGAUUAGCUUGUUGGCGGGGUAACGGCACACCAAGGCAACGAUCAGUAGGGGUUCUGAGAGGAAGGUCCCCCACAUUGGAGCUGAGACACGGUCCAAACUCCUACGGGAGGCAGCAGUGAGGAAUAUUGGUCAAUGGGCGGAAGCCUGAACCAGCCAAGUAGCGUGCAGGAUGACGGCCCUAUGGGUUGUAAACUGCUUUUAUACAGGAAUAAAGUUAGCCACGUGUGGUUAUUUGUAGGUACUGUAUGAAUAAGGACCGGCUAAUUCCGUGCCAGCCGCCGCGGUAA